GGCGGAUUGGUGAAAUUAUCACGUCUGAUUUUCGCUCAGGAGUUACCCAUAACGGGUAUCCGCUU
RNAcentral lists this transfer RNA (65 nucleotides) under Glottidia pyramidata. RNAcentral describes it as "tRNA-Glu". The record is from RNAcentral. Lineage: Eukaryota; Metazoa; Brachiopoda; Lingulata; Lingulida; Lingulidae.